Solanum verrucosum is the source of this 185-nucleotide long non-coding RNA. RefSeq lists it as uncharacterized. NCBI's taxonomy places the organism in Eukaryota, Viridiplantae, Streptophyta, Magnoliopsida, Solanales, Solanaceae. The record is from RefSeq and is a predicted model, not a curated record. The transcript is spliced from 2 exons.
AGAAGAGAUUCCACAUUCCAUAUCCGGAGACAGAGACAAUUUGCGCGACAUGUUGAUUUGGGGUAAUGGCAACGCUCAUCAUACCAUAGAAGGUGAAGUACAAGAGAGUGAAAUACAUGAUAAACAAGUACCAAAAGAACUUGGUCACUGUCCAUUCAAAUCCGAUCAUAGCAUAGAUGAUAACA